Molecule: long non-coding RNA, 392 nt
Organism: Salvia miltiorrhiza (redroot sage)
Lineage: Eukaryota; Viridiplantae; Streptophyta; Magnoliopsida; Lamiales; Lamiaceae
Exons: 2
Source: RefSeq, a predicted model, not a curated record
AUUUGUAAGAACGCCUUGAAGCUUUCGAACUUGAUUUCUUUGGAUACUUGAAGAUCACUUCAAAGAUUUGCAGGAAUACUUGAAGAAUUUGAAGGAUACUUGAUGAAUACUCGAAGACUUGAUAGAAUUCUUUGAACUCCUCAAUCUUCCACUUCAACUUGUGAUACUAGAGAGAAUUCUUUAUGCUCUUCGAUCUUCCGCUCCUUCGAGUUUUUGAUAAUGAGCACCCCAACACCUCUAUUUAUAGAUUUUAGAGAUGGGCUUCGUGGGCUUUAUGGGCUUUGGGCCUUCAUGCAUGGGCCUUAGGGCCUUAGGUGUCCAUAAGCCCAUUAAUUCAUUUAUAUUAAAUAUUAAUUAUAUAUCUAUUUAAUUUAGGAAUAAAAUCCCAUUUA